GUGCUCGCUUCGGCAGCACAUAUACUAAAAUUGGAACGAUACAGAGAAGAUUAGCAUGGCCCCUUGCGCAAGGAUGACACGAAAACCUUUUGCUAAGUGAAAUAGGUCA
Molecule: small nuclear RNA, 109 nt
Filed under: Colobus angolensis palliatus
Lineage: Eukaryota; Metazoa; Chordata; Mammalia; Primates; Cercopithecidae
Source: RNAcentral